Molecule: long non-coding RNA, 306 nt
Organism: Amphimedon queenslandica
Lineage: Eukaryota; Metazoa; Porifera; Demospongiae; Haplosclerida; Niphatidae
Exons: 2
Source: RefSeq, a predicted model, not a curated record
UUUUUAGUAAGACCUUUCAGGUCUUAAGCAGUUAUCCUUUAUUGUUUAUAUCCAGUUAUCAUUGAGAGAUCCUUCUGGAUGGUGGACUGGUAAAAUUGGAUGCAAGGAAGGAUUGUUUCCUAGCAAUUAUGUAGAGGAAAUGUAGCUCUAGACACUUGUAACAAGUUACUGGUGUGUAUUAUGAUAGGCAAACUGAUUUAACAUUUAUUUUUAUUAUGUUCAAUUACUGUUUAAUAGUAAUGUGUGAGCUAGUCUGUUAAGUAAUAAAAGAGUUUGUUUUGUGAAUAUAAAACUAUUUUACACACA